Molecule: non-coding RNA, 701 nt
Organism: Misgurnus anguillicaudatus (oriental weatherfish)
Lineage: Eukaryota; Metazoa; Chordata; Actinopteri; Cypriniformes; Cobitidae
Source: the annotation of a RefSeq genome assembly
UGAAACAUUUAGACUUUUCUCAAGUUUUUGUUGUUUAAAAAAAGCUAUUGAAGUGAAGACAUGAGAAGAAAUCAUUGUGGUGGACUUUCAGUGAAGUAACCAAACUGACUGUUGAAAUGUUACUGCAGGAGGUUUUUGUACAGCGGCUCAAUGGGUUUGUAUCACUGUGGAGGACUUUUGGUGGAGGAACAAGACUCUCAGUUGGAAAUAAUGCUCUCCCUACUCUAACAGUCCUGCCUCCCUCCAGAGAUGAGUUGAAACAGGGUAAAGCUACAGUCAUGUGUGUUGGCAGUAAGGGUUAUCCGUCUGACUGGAAGCUGAACUGGAAGGUUGAUUGUAGCAGCAAGAGCUCUGGUGUGAAUCUGAAUCCCAGUAUACUGCAGAAAGAUGGACUGUACAGCUGGAGCAGCAGUCUGAGUCUCACUGAGAGUGAAUGGAGAUCAGCAAAAACCAUCAGCUGUGAGGCCACACAGAGUUCCCAGAGUUCAGUCAUCAAAACCAUUGACACACAACAAUGUAAUGCAGAAUAAAACCACACAAUUUACAGAAUAGUAAAUCUUAAUAAAAAUAACAUGUUUUACUUUUUGCAGAGGUUAUGUUGCUUUGUAAUGUAUAGUUUAUUGUAGUGCAUAACAGCAGACUUUAUUAAUUUGCUGAUUCCUAUAUUUUGGUUGCAAAAAUAAAAUGCAUUUUGGCUCAAA